RNAcentral lists this ribosomal RNA (460 nucleotides) under uncultured bacterium. Its description in RNAcentral is "partial 16S ribosomal RNA". It matches the Rfam family "Bacterial small subunit ribosomal RNA", at positions 338 to 795 of the family's 1533-position model. The record is from RNAcentral.
CCUACGGGUGGCAGCAGUGAGGAAUAUUGGUCAAUGGACGAAAGUCUGAACCAGCGACGUAGCGUGAAGGAUGACUGCCCUAUGGGUUGUAAACUUCUUUUAUAUGGGAAUAAAUUGUUCCGCGUGUGGCAUUUUGUAUGUACCCUAUGAAUACGGAUCGGGUAACUCCGUGCCAGCAGCCGCGGUAAUACGGAGGAUCCGAGCGUUCUCCGGAUUUAUUGGGUGUAAAGGUCGCGUAGGUGGUUUGUUAAGUCAGUUGUGAAAGUUUGCGGCUCAACCGUCAGAUUGCAGUUGAAACUGGCAGUCUUGAGUACAGUAGAGGUAGGCGGAAUUCGUGGUGUAGCAGUGAAAUGCUUAGAUAUCACGAAGAACACCGAUUGCGAAGGCAGUUCACUGGACUGCAACUGACACUGAGGCACGAAAGUGUGGGGAGCAAACAGGAUUAGAUACCCUGGUAGUC